RNAcentral lists this ribosomal RNA (465 nucleotides) under uncultured bacterium. Its description in RNAcentral is "bacterial SSU rRNA". It matches the Rfam family "Bacterial small subunit ribosomal RNA", at positions 33 to 507 of the family's 1533-position model. The record is from RNAcentral.
ACGACGCUGGCGGCGCGCCUAACACAUGCAAGUCGAACGGACGAGAAGGAGCUUGCUCCUUCAAGUUAGUGGCGGACGGGUGAGUAACACGUGAGCAACCUGCCUUUCAGAGGGGGACAACAGUUGGAAACGACUGCUAAUACCGCAUGAUACAUUUGAGCGGCAUCGCUUGAAUGUCAAAGAUUUUAUCGCUGAAAGAUGGCCUCGCGUCUGAUUAGCUAGUUGGUGGGGUAACGGCCCACCAAGGCGACGAUCAGUAGCCGGACUGAGAGGUUGACCGGCCACAUUGGGACUGAGAUACGGCCCAGACUCCUACGGGAGGCAGCAGUGGGGAAUAUUGGGCAAUGGACGCAAGUCUGACCCAGCAACGCCGCGUGAAGGAAGAAGGCUUUCGGGUUGUAAACUUCUUUUAAGUGGGAAGAGCAGAAGACGGUACCACUUGAAUAAGCCACGGCUAACUACGUG